UGGCCUACGGGAGGCAGCAGUGAGGAAUAUUGGUCAAUGGGCGCAGGCCUGAACCAGCCAAGUAGCGUGAAGGAUGACUGCCCUAUGGGUUGUAAACUUCUUUUAUAUGGGAAUAAAGUUUUCCACGUGUGGAAUUUUGUAUGUACCAUAUGAAUAAGGAUCGGCUAACUCCGUGCCAGCAGCCGCGGUAAUACGGAGGAUCCGAGCGUUAUCCGGAUUUAUUGGGUUUAAAGGGUGCGUAGGCGGUCCGUUAAGUCAGCGGUAAAAUUGCGGGGCUCAACCCCGUCGAGCCGUUGAAACUGGCA
RNAcentral lists this ribosomal RNA (305 nucleotides) under uncultured bacterium. RNAcentral describes it as "bacterial SSU rRNA". It matches the Rfam family "Bacterial small subunit ribosomal RNA", at positions 335 to 638 of the family's 1533-position model. The record is from RNAcentral.